This 1138-nucleotide long non-coding RNA is filed under the name Equus asinus (donkey). Its description in RNAcentral is "lncRNA (ENSEASG00005027624.1)". The record is from RNAcentral. Lineage: Eukaryota; Metazoa; Chordata; Mammalia; Perissodactyla; Equidae.
CAGCUUUACAGGAAAAGAAAUAGUAAGGUUCUGAAAUCUUAUUAGGAAUACUGAUAAGGAAUUACAAAAAGACAGAAAAUACGUGGGAAAAUUUCCCUUUUCCCUUAAAAUGGAUGACUUUGAAUGUACAUACUAUGAUUGACAUCAACAUUUAUUGAGUGACUAUUCAAUCGACAACAUAAAAUUUACUCUCUCUGUAUGCCCGCAAAGCUCUGUCCUCUUGCAGUCCUUGGGCGUGUCUAAACAAAGGGCUCUUGGCUCAGCCUCGUCCUCACAGAAAACCUGAAGCUGCCUUCGUGUACAUACCGUCCAGCAGUGUACAUGCCUCUUAGCCCCGUUGACUGAGCAACAGCAAAAUGGCCCAGAUGCGAUACCACUCCUCCUCCUAGACUCCUCUAAGGGGAGAGACGAGGCGUGCGGCAAUGCUGGGCUGUGUGUGAGGGGAGCUCUGCGUUCUGCUUUUCCAUCAGCCGCCACCCCACAGCACCAAGUCCUGGGUGAGGAUGGGUAGCUGGAUAAAACCUGUGGACUGGAACAUAUUUGACACCGUCUGCAAAGCACUAAGAGUCCACGGAUGAGGAAUUGCAGUAAUGAGCGGAGAGCAGCACGGUGGCUGUUAACAUUGCUGCUCUUCCAGGCAGAGGUCAGCACUGCCUCGUGAGCGAGUGACUGAGCACCGCAGAAUCGUGCAGCGUCUCCUCUGCAAUCACAUUUGGCCCUCUCUGGAGUAAUCAGACAAAGUGCCCACAGGAGAGCGAGGCCCGAGAGCCAUGAGGCUAAUAGCAUGAUGCCGCAGAAAAAGCAUGAGCUUCGAUGCCAAAGAGAAGAGGAACAGAAUCUCGGAUCUGCCCACUUUGUGUCCUGGAGCACAGAUAGACUACAAACUUCAUCAAGGCGGUUGUACCCAUUUUGGAGUGCAUUCAGCUACAAGUAACAGAAACUUGACAGUGGCUUCAACAAAUAAGGAUUCACUUUUGUCAUCUAAAAAAGAAGUACAGAGGUAGUGGCUGCUGGUAAUGUUUCAGAACCUCAACAAUGUCACAAUGUCUCUUUGACUCUUUUGGUCUUUUCUUCAUGGGUUCAAGAUAGCUGUUGCAGCUCCAGCCAUCAUAUCCAAAUUAAAGCCAGAAGAAAGGAA